CUACUCUCCUCAGCUGGGCACCAAGGAGGAAGACCCUCAUACUAACGACCUGGUGGGAGGACUGAUGACGGAUGGCUUGCGCAGAUUAUCAGGAAACGAAUACAUCUUUGCUGCGAAACAGCCCCACCUCCCAAGUCACCUAGCCAUGCCCCUUUCGUUGAAUGACAUCCCUCCU
Long non-coding RNA from Oncorhynchus keta (chum salmon), 175 nucleotides. RefSeq lists it as uncharacterized. Lineage: Eukaryota; Metazoa; Chordata; Actinopteri; Salmoniformes; Salmonidae. The transcript is spliced from 3 exons. The record is from RefSeq and is a predicted model, not a curated record.